ACGCUAGCGACAGGCUUAACACAUGCAAGUCGAGGGUUAGCACAGGUAGCAAUACCGGGUGGCGACCGGCGCACGGGUGAGUAACGCGUAUGCAACUUACCUAUCAGAGGGGGAUAACCCGGCGAAAGUCGGACUAAUACCGCAUGAAGCAGGGGCCCCGCAUGGGGAUAUUUGCUAAAGAUUCAUCGCUGAUAGAUAGGCAUGCGUUCCAUUAGGCAGUUGGCGGGGUAACGGCCCACCAAACCGACGAUGGAUAGGGGUUCUGAGAGGAAGGUCCCCCACAUUGGUACUGAGACACGGACCAAACUCCUACGGGAGGCAGCAGUGAGGAAUAUUGGUCAAUGGCCGAGAGGCUGAACCAGCCAAGUCGCGUGAGGGAUGAAGGUUCUAUGGAUCGUAAACCUCUUUUAUAAGGGAAUAAAGUGCGGGACGUGUCCCGUUUUGUAUGUACCUUAUGAAUAAGGAUCGGCUAACUCCGUGCCAGCAGCCGCGGUAAUACGGAGGAUCCGAGCGUUAUCCGGAUUUAUUGGGUUUAAAGGGUGCGUAGGCGGCCUUUUAAGUCAGCGGUGAAAGUCUGUGGCUCAACCAUAGAAUUGCCGUUGAAACUGGGGGGCUUGAGUAUGUUUGAGGCAGGCGGAAUGCGUGGUGUAGCGGUGAAAUGCAUAGAUAUCACGCAGAACCCCGAUUGCGAAGGCAGCCUGCCAAGCCAUUACUGACGCUGAUGCACGAAAGCGUGGGGAUCAAACAGGAUUAGAUACCCUGGUAGUCCACGCAGUAAACGAUGAUCACUAGCUGUUUGCGAUACACUGUAAGCGGCACAGCGAAAGCGUUAAGUGAUCCACCUGGGGAGUACGCCGGCAACGGUGAAACUCAAAGGAAUUGACGGGGGCCCGCACAAGCGGAGGAACAUGUGGUUUAAUUCGAUGAUACGCGAGGAACCUUACCCGGGUUUGAACGCAUUCGGACCGAGGUGGAAACACCUUUUCUAGCAAUAGCCGUUUGCGAGGUGCUGCAUGGUUGUCGUCAGCUCGUGCCGUGAGGUGUCGGCUUAAGUGCCAUAACGAGCGCAACCCUUGCCACUAGUUACUAACAGGUAAAGCUGAGGACUCUGGUGGGACUGCCAGCGUAAGCUGCGAGGAAGGCGGGGAUGACGUCAAAUCAGCACGGCCCUUACACCCGGGGCGACACACGUGUUACAAUGGCGUGGACAAAGGGAAGCCACCUGGCGACAGGGAGCGAAUCCCCAAACCACGUCUCAGUUCGGAUCGGAGUCUGCAACCCGACUCCGUGAAGCUGGAUUCGCUAGUAAUCGCGCAUCAGCCAUGGCGCGGUGAAUACGUUCCCGGGCCUUGUACACACCGCCCGUCAAGCCAUGGGAGCCGGGGGUACCUGAAGUCCGUAACCGCGAGGAUCGGCCUAGGGUAAAACUGGUA
Molecule: ribosomal RNA, 1433 nt
Filed under: uncultured organism
Description: SSU rRNA
Rfam family: Bacterial small subunit ribosomal RNA
Source: RNAcentral